AUGGCUGCGCGAGCACUGACCGCCGCCGGCCGCCGGGUGGCCGGCCAGACCAGGGCGACGCCUCUUCUCGCCUGGUGCAGGAACAGCGCCAGCAUGAACCACUCCUCGGCCACCGCGCGGCGGGAGGAGGAGCAGUACAAGGACGUGCGCGCCCCCGCUGCGACGAUGACGGGGGCACAGGUGGAGGCGGCGCUGAACCGCAAGAACGUCGAGGUGCUCCAGGGCGAGGAGCACGUCGCCACGGUGCUGUCCGACGAGGCCAUCGGCGGCGCGCUUGACGGCGGCGAGGACGCGUCGUGGGUGCCCGACCAGGACACGGGCGUCUUCGGCCCCGCCCACGUCGAUACCCACGGCGGCGGCUCGGCUGCCGCUCCACCGCACCUGUUCGGAGGUGCCACGGAGGGGUCAGCGGCGUCUUGGGCCGACCAGGACACGGGCGCCUUCGUCCCCGCCGAUGCCGAUGCCGACGCCGACGCCCACGGCGGCGGCGCGCAUCCCGCCCCACCGCAGCACCUGUACGGAGGCGUGGGCGGGCCGGCGUCGGUGCUGGACCAGACGGUGUUCGUCCGGGAGGAGGAGAUGGAGGACGUGGAGAGGCCCGCCGCCCUCUGA
RNAcentral lists this ribosomal RNA (612 nucleotides) under Triticum aestivum (bread wheat). RNAcentral describes it as "partial small subunit ribosomal RNA". The record is from RNAcentral. Lineage: Eukaryota; Viridiplantae; Streptophyta; Magnoliopsida; Poales; Poaceae.